This 206-nucleotide ribosomal RNA is filed under the name uncultured bacterium. Its description in RNAcentral is "partial 16S ribosomal RNA". It matches the Rfam family "Bacterial small subunit ribosomal RNA", at positions 1295 to 1500 of the family's 1533-position model. The record is from RNAcentral.
GGACUGCAGGCUGCAACCCGCCUGCACGAAGUUGGAAUUGCUAGUAAUCGCGGAUCAGCAUGCCGCGGUGAAUACGUUCCCGGGCUUUGUACACACCGCCCGUCAAACCAUGAAAGUUGGGAACACCCGAAGCCGGUGAGCUAACCGCAAGGAGGCAGCCGUCGAAGGUGGGUUCAAUGAUUGGGGUUAAGUCGUAACAAGGUAGC